CCCUUAGAUGUUCUGGACCGCACGCGUGCUACACUGAGUGGAUCAGCGGGUCAGGUUGCGCGAAAGUGUUUCCUAAUCUUUAAAUCCGCUCGUGAUGGGGAUUGACGGUUGCAAUUUUCCGUCAUGAACGAGGAAUACCUUGUAAGCGCGGGUCAUCAUCCCGCGCUGAAUACGUCCCUGCCCUUUGUACACACCGCCCGUCGCUCCUACCGAUUGAGUGGUCCGGUGAGGCUUUGGGAUCUGGGCGGAAAGAGCGUUUCGCUGUUUCUGCCCGGAAAACUCAGUCGAACCUUAUCAUUUAGAGGAAGGAGAAGUCGUAACA
Molecule: ribosomal RNA, 322 nt
Filed under: uncultured eukaryote
Lineage: Eukaryota
Description: partial 18S ribosomal RNA
Rfam family: Eukaryotic small subunit ribosomal RNA
Source: RNAcentral